CUUAAGGCAAAGGAUCAAUAGCCAUUUUAGUUUGCCCUGGGAACAGUGCUACUGACUGGCUUCUGGUGCUGGGUAGGUGUAUCCAGGUCACACAUUCUUCCAGGGCUCAAUAGCUCACAAUUUGCCUUUUGCAUUUGCUUUUGGGCAUCGCAGAGCAAAUCUACUGAUUUGCUCUGGUUUGCAACCAGGACAGAGUAGUCUAAGAUCCUUGCAUUAGUUUCCCCUGUAUCUUGGCUCUUUACCCCAGCUCCUUGCUCCAGGAUGCCUACACUGUGGUCGGUGCUUGUCAGCCUCUUCCCCUGCCCAACUAAAACAGACUUUUUCUGAAGUUUUUGCAAAGUUUCCUCUUUUGGAAAUUUGUUACAUUCCAAAUAUUUGUGGGUUCUGUCACUCCAAAACAAGUUCAGAGACUUAAUUUGCUGUUAAUUUGAGGGAAACUUGGAGGAGAUCACAUAGAAAUGUGUCUACUCUCUACCAUCUUCUUAAAAAGUAAAAGAAAGAAAAAGAAAAAAAACUUUCCCUAACUUAUCUUACUAAUGCCUUCCUUGGAAUCACACAUGGAGAUAUAAUUUAGUAAGAAAGUUAGAGCUGAUGAUCUAAGAAAAAGAGGACAGGUUGAAUAACAAAGGCAAAGAGUUGUUGGUGGGUUUUUCGUCAUCUUACCUAAAAGGUAACAUACCAUAAAUAAACAAAAAGCAUCAUAAAUAUAGGUGGUGAUUUGAGUGACUUCCUAGGAAAAAAAUUAAAUAUAUCAGGAAGAUAAAACAGAUGUACUAUUUAACUCAAAUAUUUACUUUUCAGAUGCUUUGAAAUGGGAUUCUCCAAGUAAUAAUCAGAAAAAACGAGUCACAGAAUUUCCAAGAAUUAAAAGUUUCAAAGGAAUUAUCCUUGCAAAUCACUGCCACUGAGUAACAAUCAGUUAACAUCCACAGAAUUUGGAAAGAGUCCAUUAAAAGAAGAUGAUCAGCUGCAGCUGGGAGUGGUCCUGACACUGACUAUAAGGUUGGAGUUCAAGUAGAAAAACUAGUUCCCCAGAAGCAGUGUAAACCACCUUUAGGAAAAGAGAAAUGGAAAGAACAUAAGAAAGAUACAUUGACUUGCUUCUGGGACCUAGAUCAAACCUUUGUUUGUCAGCUACAAACUGUCAGCCACACUACAGACCCAUCCCCCUCCCGGACUAAGAAUCAUCCCUGUUCGGCAGGAAGAAGCAAUUGACAGCCAUCGCCCACUUUUCCUGAUGCAAUUUGGACUGAUGGGGGGGGAGUGGGAAAGUGGUCGACUUGUUAGAAUUUUCACUGUAUUACUGUGCUGUAUUUAAGACUUGGAAUGGAAAUUGUUAAACUUGUGUAAUUAUUGCUGUUAUGUUUGAGGG
This 1372-nucleotide long non-coding RNA is filed under the name Sarcophilus harrisii (Tasmanian devil). RNAcentral describes it as "lncRNA (ENSSHAG00000026603.1)". Lineage: Eukaryota; Metazoa; Chordata; Mammalia; Dasyuromorphia; Dasyuridae. The record is from RNAcentral.